Molecule: long non-coding RNA, 480 nt
Filed under: Equus caballus (horse)
Lineage: Eukaryota; Metazoa; Chordata; Mammalia; Perissodactyla; Equidae
Description: lncRNA (ENSECAG00000042271.2)
Source: RNAcentral
UUACUCGGGACGGGGCUUGGCUAGAGCCAUGCGCAUGCGCGUCCCGCUCCGGCGCCGUCCUUGGAGGCCCGCCGGCCGACGCGGUGCCAGCCCCGAGCCACGAGUGAAACAUGUUGGUGAAAAACAAGGAAACGUAUUCUGCUUUCACAUCUUCUAGUAAAGCCCCUGGAAGCCACCAUUCUACUUUUUGUCUCUUUGAGUUUGACUAUCCUGGAUACCUCAUAUUUUAACUGCAUCAUCACAGAUGGCUCCUGUGUCUCCAGGCAUCAUUUAUAUAUUUCUGGCAGGAGGAAGAGGAAACAGAAAGAACAAAAGGCAAAACCUGGGUGCCAGUGGAGUUGGCUGUAUCUAAUAAACUCUCCCCAAAGCCCUGUCGAAUGACUUUCUCUGCCCUCUCAUUAGCUGUUCUCUGCCACCUGGCCACAUCUUGCGUGAUGUCAAUGAAAAUAAUCCAUAACUAAUCUACAAAUGAAAAUUUGG